GAUGAACGCUAGCGGCAGGCCUAAUACAUGCAAGUCGAACGAGAUUAAGAGGCUUGCUUCUUAUGAAAGUGGCGCACGGGUGCGUAACGCGUAUGCAACCUACCUUAAUCAGGGGGAUAGCCCGAAGAAAUUCGGAUUAAGACCGCAUAAACACACAGGAUAGCAUUAUCCAAUGUUCAAAUAUUUAAAGGCUUAAGAUGGGCAUGCGUGUCAUUAGCUAGGUGGCGGGGUAACGGCCCACCAAGGCGACGAUGACUAGGGGAUCUGAGAGGAUGACCCCCCACACUGGUACUGAGACACGGACCAGACUCCUACGGGAGGCAGCAGUAAGGAAUAUUGGUCAAUGGAGGGAACUCUGAACCAGCCAUGCCGCGUGCAGGAAGACAGCCCUCUGGGUCGUAAACUGCUUUUAUUCGGGAAUAAACCUUUCUACGUGUAGGAAGCUGAAUGUACCGAAGGAAUAAGGAUCGGCUAACUCCGUG
RNAcentral lists this ribosomal RNA (482 nucleotides) under uncultured bacterium. Its description in RNAcentral is "partial 16S ribosomal RNA". It matches the Rfam family "Bacterial small subunit ribosomal RNA", at positions 28 to 507 of the family's 1533-position model. The record is from RNAcentral.